CCCAAUCAAACUCUCCACAAUUUUCACGCAAAACACACACACACAAUGCUUCCUGAUGGUGCCCCCUUUGCAAAUAUAUUUUUUUUUCCUGCAAAAUGUUUGGAAGGUACCUCACCAAAACAACCCACUCCCAAAUCUGCCUUUCCUCUGUUCCAUCUCUCUCGAGAAACUCCGACCACUUCAACCGGCGACAUAUUCCACAGUUCCGUCGACGAAGAAGGGGCACGAGCAUGUUGAGUAUGGGGC
RNAcentral lists this long non-coding RNA (246 nucleotides) under Erythranthe guttata (spotted monkey flower). RNAcentral describes it as "long non-coding RNA (EGUT_LNC001274)". Lineage: Eukaryota; Viridiplantae; Streptophyta; Magnoliopsida; Lamiales; Phrymaceae. The record is from RNAcentral.